Molecule: transfer RNA, 69 nt
Filed under: Sinocrossocheilus labiatus
Lineage: Eukaryota; Metazoa; Chordata; Actinopteri; Cypriniformes; Cyprinidae
Description: tRNA-Ser
Source: RNAcentral
AAGGAAGAACAGAAAAUAAUAAGUACUGCUAAUCCUUAUCUACCAAGGUUAAAAUCCCUGGCUUCCUUG